GGCUCGUUGGUCUAGGGGUAUGAUUCUUGCUUAGGGUGCGAGAGGUCCAGGGUUCAAAUCCCGGAUGAGCAC
Molecule: transfer RNA, 72 nt
Filed under: Danionella translucida
Lineage: Eukaryota; Metazoa; Chordata; Actinopteri; Cypriniformes; Danionidae
Also listed under: 1 other name
Rfam family: tRNA
About the family: Transfer RNA (tRNA) molecules are approximately 80 nucleotides in length. Their secondary structure includes four short double-helical elements and three loops (D, anti-codon, and T loops). Further hydrogen bonds mediate the characteristic L-shaped molecular structure. tRNAs have two regions of fundamental functional importance: the anti-codon, which is responsible for specific mRNA codon recognition, and the 3' end, to which the tRNAs corresponding amino acid is attached (by aminoacyl-tRNA synthetases). tRNAs cope with the degeneracy of the genetic code in two manners: having more than one tRNA (with a specific anti-codon) for a particular amino acid; and 'wobble' base-pairing, i.e. permitting non-standard base-pairing at the 3rd anti-codon position.
Source: Rfam by way of RNAcentral